AACGAACGCUGGCGGCAUGCCUAACACAUGCAAGUCGAGCGCGCCCUUCGGGGUGAGCGGCGCACGGGUGCGUAACGCGUGGGAACCUGCCCUUUUCUACGGAAUAGCCUCGGGAAACUGAGAGUAAUACCGUAUACGCUCUUUGGGGCAAAGAUUUAUCGCAUAAGGAUCGGCCCGCGUUGGAUUAGGUAGUUGGUAGGGUAAUAGCCUACCAAGCCGACGAUCCAUAGCUGGUCUGAGAGGAUGAUCAGCCACACUGGGACUGAGACACGGCUCAGACUCCUACGGGAGGCAGCAGUGGGGAAUAUUAGACAAUGGGCGCAAGCCUGAUCCAGCCAUGCCGCGUGAGUGAUGAAGGCCUUAGGGUUGUAAAGCUCUUUCAGCUGGGAUGAUAAUGACAGUACCAGCAGAAGAAGCCCCGGCUAACUCCGUG
Molecule: ribosomal RNA, 433 nt
Filed under: uncultured bacterium
Lineage: Bacteria
Description: partial 16S ribosomal RNA
Rfam family: Bacterial small subunit ribosomal RNA
Source: RNAcentral